GACGAACGCUGGCGGCGUGCUUUAUACAUGCAAGUCGAACGAUGAAGUUCCUUCGGGAAUGGAUUAGUGGCGAACGGGUGAGGAACACGUGAGAAACCUGCCUUUCAUUCUGGGAUAACACCGGGAAACCGGUGCUAAUACCGGAUACUCCGUCUUGGCGGCAUCGCCGAGCCGGGAAAAAAUUUUGGUGAAAGAUGGUCUCGCGGCCUAUCAGCUAGUUGGUGAGGUAAAGGCUCACCAAGGCGACGACGGGUAGCCGGCCUGAGAGGGCGACCGGCCACACUGGGACUGAGACGCGGCCCAGACUCCUACGGGAGGCAGCAGUAGGGAAUAUUGGGCAAUGGGCGCAAGCCUGACCCAGCGACGCCGCGUGAGGGAUGAAGGUCUUCGGAUUGUAAACCUCUUUCAGUAGGGAAGAAGCGAAAGUGACGGUACCUAAAGAAGAAGCACCGGCUAACUAUGUGCCAGCAGCCGCAGUAA
This 480-nucleotide ribosomal RNA is filed under the name uncultured bacterium. Its description in RNAcentral is "partial 16S ribosomal RNA". It matches the Rfam family "Bacterial small subunit ribosomal RNA", at positions 28 to 523 of the family's 1533-position model. The record is from RNAcentral.